This 459-nucleotide ribosomal RNA is filed under the name uncultured bacterium. RNAcentral's name for it is "partial 16S ribosomal RNA". It matches the Rfam family "Bacterial small subunit ribosomal RNA", at positions 338 to 795 of the family's 1533-position model. The record is from RNAcentral.
CCUACGGGAGGCAGCAGUGAGGAAUAUUGGUCAAUGGGCGGGAGCCUGAACCAGCCAAGCCGCGUGAGGGAAGAAGGUACAGCGUAUCGUAAACCGCUUUUGUCCGGGGACAACAGCGGGGACUAGUCCCCGGAUGCAGGUACCGUGAGAAUAAGCAUCGGCUAACUCCGUGCCAGCAGCCGCGGUAAUACGGAGGAUGCGAGCGUUAUCCGGAUUUAUUGGGUUUAAAGGGAGCGCAGGCGGCCUGUUAAGUCAGCGGUAAAAGCCCGGGGCUCAACCCCGCCGAGCCGUUGAAACUGGCGGGCUGGAGUUGGAGACAGGUAGGCGGAAUGCGUGGUGUAGCGGUGAAAUGCUUAGAUAUCGCGCAGAACCCCGAUUGCGAAGGCAGCGUACCGGCUCCACACUGACGCUGAGGCACGAAAGUGUGGGUAUCGAACAGGAUUAAAUACCCUAGUAGUC